Mauremys reevesii (Reeves's turtle) is the source of this 300-nucleotide long non-coding RNA. RefSeq lists it as uncharacterized. The transcript has 3 exons. NCBI's taxonomy places the organism in Eukaryota, Metazoa, Chordata, Testudines, Geoemydidae. The record is from RefSeq and is a predicted model, not a curated record.
CCUGCGCUCUGCCAGCGCCGCCCUGGUUUUCCUGGUGGUGUCGCCGGCCGCCAUCGCCGCCAGCCAGGAGGGGCCGACCGUCAGCGCCUUCACCUUCAGCCUCAUCCUCAUCGCCAUAUUUGCCUACGACGCCUUCAGCACCUACUGGGCUGAGAUCAGGCCAGAGCCAGCCCAGGAUGGCAACGGGAACCUGGCAUAAGAGGAAAAUCACCCCCGGCUGGGGACAGAAAUAAUCCCCCUGAUCUCCCCCCUCAACAAUGCUGGUGCCCCUCACUCCUAACCCGCAGCCCCUGCCCCCCC